Molecule: ribosomal RNA, 253 nt
Filed under: uncultured bacterium
Lineage: Bacteria
Description: partial 16S ribosomal RNA
Rfam family: Bacterial small subunit ribosomal RNA
Source: RNAcentral
UACAGAGGUCUCAAGCGUUGUUCGGAUUCAUUGGGCGUAAAGGGUGCGUAGGCGGCACGGUAAGUCAGAGGUGAAAUCCCGGAGCUCAACUUCGGAAUUGCCUCCGAUACUGCCGUGCUUGAGGACUGGAGAGGAGAUUGGAAUUCACAGUGGAGCAGUGAAAUGCGUAGAUAUUGUGAGGAACACUAGUGGCGAAGGCGAAUCUCUGGACAGUUCCUGACGCUGAGGCACGAAGGCCAGGGGAGCAAACGGG